AGGGUCCUCUGCCUAGGAAAACCAGAGACCCUUGUUCACAUGUUUAUCUGCUGACCUUCCCUCCACUAUUGUCCUAUGACCCUGCCAAAUCCCCCUCUGCGAGCAACACCCAAGAAUGAUCAAUAAAUACUAAAAAAAAAAAAAAAAAAAAAAGAAGCUCAACAUCAUUGGUCUUUAGGGAAAUGUAAAUUAACGACAAUGAGAUACCAGUACAUAGAACUGCGGAAAUUAAAAGAAAAAAAAAAAAGCCUGACAAUACCAAAUGCUGGAAAUAAUAUAGAGAUACAGAAGAACACGAAUUCUCAUUCACUACUGGGAGAAAUACAAAAUGGUACAGUCAUUUUAGAAAACAGUUUGGUAGUCUCCUGUAAAGUUAAACCAUAAAGUUACCAAACAGCCUAGCAAUCCCACUCUUAGGUAUUUACUCAAAUGAAAUUUCACACUAAAACCUGUACAUGAAUGUUUACAAUAGCUUUCUUUAUAAUCACCAAAAACCAGAAACCCAGAUGUCCUUUAAUAGGUGAAUAGACACCAGGCGCGGUAGCUCACGCCUGUAAUCCCAGCACUUUAGGAGGCUGAGGAGGGCGGAUCACCUGAGAUCAGGAGUUCAAGACCAGCCUGACCAAUAUGGAGAAACUAUGUCUCUACUAAAAAUACAAAAUUAGCUGGGCGUGGUCGCACAUGCCUGUAAUCUCAGCUAUUCGGGAGGCUGAGGCAGGAGAAUCAUUUGAACCCGGGAGGCGGAGGUUGCAGUAAGCCAAGAUUGCACCACUGCACCCCAGCCUGGGCAACAAGGGAGAAACUCCGUCUCAUAAAAAAAAAAGGUGACUAGACAAACUAUGGUACAUCCAAACAGUGGAAUACUACUCAGCAAUAAAGAGCAUUGGACGCAUGCAACAACAUGGAAGAAUUUUAAACGUAUUUUGCUGGCCAGGUGCAGUGGCUCACGCCUAUAAUCGGAGCCUGAGGCAGGUGGAUUGCUUGAGCUCAGGAGUUCCAGACCAGCCUGGGCAACGUGGUGAAACCGUCUCUACAAAAAAUACAAAAAUGAGCCAGGUGUGGUGGCACAGGCCUAUAGUCCCAGCUACUUGGGGUGCUGAGGUAGGAGGAUUGCUUGAGCCCAGGAAGUUGAGGCUGCAGUGAGCCGAGAUGGCGCCACUGCACCCCACCCUGGGCAACAGAAUGAGACCCUGUCUCCAAUCAAUCAAUCAAUCUACCUUUUAAAAAAAUGUAUUUUGCUAAGUGAAAAAAGCCAAACCUCAAAGGCUACAUAUUGUAUGAUUACAUUUUAAGACAUUCUGGAAAAGGCAAAACAAUAGGGAUGGAAAACAGGUAAGUUGUUGCCAGAGAUUGAAGGAGAUAGAGGGGUUGACUACAAAGGGGCCACUAUAAGGGAUUUUUUAGGGUGAUAGAACUGUUCAGUAUGGUACUGUGGGGUAUAUAUCUGACUCUAUGCAUCUGUCAAAACCCAUAGAACUAAACAUCAUAAAGAGUACACUUUACUAUAUGUAUGCAAAAAAUUUUUAAAAAUGUUUUUUUGGGACAGAGUCUUGCUUUGUUGUCCAGGCUAGAGUGCAGUGGCACCAUCAUGACUCACUGCAGCCUUGACCUCCCUGGCUCAAGCCAUCCUCCUGCUUGAGCCAGGAGAAAUUGGGACUACAGGUAUGUGCUACCAGGCCUGACUAAUUUUUUUUUUUUUUUUUUUUUUUGUAGAGAUGGGCUCUCACUAUGUUACCCAAGCUGAUCUCAAACUUCUAGGCUCAAGCAAUCUUCCCUCCUUGGCAUCCCAAAGUGCUUGGAUUAGAGGUGUGAACCACUGCAGCUGGCCACUGUAUGCAAAUUUUUUAAAAUAACCAGAAUAUCUGGGAACCCAGGAUAGACUACAGACUGUAACAAAUGAAAUCUAACUGCAUUACAAACGUCUGAUAUAACCUCAGAGAGGAAAACAAAAGGAGCUGAUCUAAGUAACUUCAUAAAACAAUGUUACUACUCGAUACUGUAAGGAUAAAAACAAACAAACAAACUGUAGGCAAACAUUGUACUCUAGUUGGUAAAUCUGUUUCUCACAGGAGUAAUCACUGAAACUACAGGUUACACAAAUAAGUAAAUAUACUAUAGGGAAUGAGAGCUAAAUUUCUUACUCUGAGAAAGAAGUCACAAAUAAGCAAGGGGGGAAGACUAGAAUGAAUCUUGUGGUGCUGGAUUAGUCAGAGAUACCAGUAUAAACCCAUGCUUAUUUUAAUAUACAUACAGAUAGAGAAAUAAAUAUAAAUGUGUGUAUAUAUAGAUUAAUAUACAUACAUACAUUUCCUAGCUCUUUCCACUGAAAGGGACUAGAAGCAUCUUGUAAUACCAGACAGGAAGUACUAAACACACACACACACACACACACACACACAGAGAGAGAGAGAAAGAGAGAGAAAGGAAGGAAGGGAGGGAGGGAGGGAGGGAAGAAGGGAAGAAGUGAGGGAGGGGAAGGAAAAGGAAGGAAAAGGAAGAAAGGAAGAAAACAAAAAGAAAGAAAGAAAAGAAAGACUCUGAUGAAUGCUAAAAUCAGAGGGUGAAACUUUAAGGAGAAAUAGGACAUCUGCAUAGCCUGAGGGUAUCUCCCCUAAAAUAUUUAUUAAUUACUGUGGUGCUUUUAACAUAUGUCCGCAAAUUAUUUGAUAAGCUUUCAUCCUGGAAAUGAAGCUUAAUUCUCCUUCUAUUCAGUGUGGGCCAGACUUGGCAAAUGAUUUCCAACAAAUAAGACUAGGUACUGUCAUUUUAUGGAAAUGGAAAAGAAAAAUAACACAAAAAGAGAAAAAUCGUGACUUUUUCAGUGGAGAAACGUGUAUACAAUCUCAACCAAAUGAUCAAAGUUACCAUCACCAGUAAUAAGCCAUGCUAAUACUAUGUUGAUAUCAUACUUUGAUAUGAUCCAAUGAGAAGGGUACUUCACUUCUGUGGUAUACUUUCCCAAAAUCCAUAAUGCCAAGUCUAAUCAUGAGAAACCAAAACCCAAAUGGAGAGACAUCUACAAAAGAGCUGACCAGUACCCUUCAAAAGUAUCAAGGUCGUAAAAGACAAGGAAAGACUGAAAACUGUCAAAGAUUGGAGGACACUAAAGAUACAUGAUGACUAACUGCAGUAUAGUAUCCUAAAUUGAAUCCUGAAAUGGAAAAGGGACAUAAGUGAAAAAACUGGUGAAAUCCAAGACUAUAAUUUAGUUAAUAGUAUUGUACCUAUAUCAAUUUCUUAGUUUUAAUAAAUGUACCAUGAUGAUGUAAGAUAUUAAUAUUAGGACAAGGUAGAUGAAGGGUAUACAGGAACUCUUGGUACUAUCUUUGAAACUCUUGUGUAAAUCUACAACUAUUUCGGGCCAGGCACAGUGUCUCACACCUGUAAUCCCAGCACUUUGGGAGGCAGAGACGGAUGGAUCACCUGAGGUCGGGAGUUCGAGACCAGCCUGACCCACAUGGAGAAACCCCAUCUCUACUAAAAAUACAAAAUUAGCUGGUUAUGGUGGCGUAUGCCUGUAGUCCCAGGAGGCUGGGGCAGGAGAAUUGCUUGAACCCGGGGGAUGGAGGCUGCAGUGAGCCGAGAUCACACCAUUGCACUCCAGCCUGGGCAACAAGAGCGAAACUCUGUCUCAAAAAAAUAAAAAUAAAAAUAAAAAUCUACAACUAUUUCAAAAUCAAAAUUAAACCUGUAAUCUCAGCUACUUGGAAGGUGAAGUGGGACGACUGCUUGAGCCCAGGAGUUUGAAACCAGCCUGGGUAACACAGUAAGACCGUGUCUCAAUCAAUCAAUCAAUAAAAAAUUAUAAAAACAAUAAUAUAGGACAGUUUCUUAACUUUAGUACAAUUAAUAUUUGGGGCCAAAUAAUUCUGUUAUGGGAAGUUGUCCUGUGCCUACUAGAAUGUUAGCAAUGUCUCUGGCCUCUACCCAUUAGAUGCCAGGAACCCACCUCCCCAGUUAUUAGAACCAAAAAUGUCUCCAGGGAUUGCCAAACGUCCCCUAGGAGGCCAAAUCACCCCAAGUUGAGACUACUGAUAUAGCUAUAUACAUUAACAUAUAAAGAUAUCCAUAACAUAGUGUUAAAAGAAAAUAGAAUAGUAUCUAACCUCUGAGUCAAUUUAUGUAAUAACAUAUACACACAUGACACAUGUGCUUAAAUAUAUAUACAAAUGUCUGGAAGGAUGUGAACCAAAAUCAUUACUCCAGGAUGCUAAGACUAUGGUUAAAUUGUCUCUGUACUUUUCAGUAUUAUUGGAUUUUUUUAAUAAGCAUGUCUCAUUUUUCUUUUCUUUUUUUUUUUGAGAUGGAGUUUCGCUCUUGUUGCCCAGGCUGGAGUGCAAUGGCGUGAUCUCGGCUCACUGCAACCUCCGCCUCCUGGGUUCAAGUGAUUCUCCUGCCUUAGUCUCCUGAGUAGCUGAGAUUACAGGCAUGCACCACCAUGCUUGACUAAUUUUUUUGUAUUUUUAGUGGAGAUAGGGUUUCUCCAUGUUGGUCAGGCUGGUCUCGAGCUCCUGACCUCAGGUGAUCUGCCCGCCUCAGCCUCCCAAAGUGCUGGAAUUAUAGGCGUGAGCCACUGUGCCCGGCCCCCGCAUGUCUCAUUUUUCUGAACACAAAAAUGCUUUGUUCUCAUUUUUUUCAUAGUGCUUCCAAUUCAAUAACCAAAAUCCUGUUGGUUCUGUUUACAAAAUAUCAAAAUGGUUACCUAUUCUCUCCAGCCAAAGCCCAACUCCAGCCUCUCUCACCCAGACUAAUGUAACAGAAUCCUAAACUGUUUUUCCUUCUCUAACCCACUCUCCACCCAGUUACUUCAUAAAAUAGAUUUACAGGCCAGGUGCAGUGGCUCACGCCUGUAAUUCCAACCCUUUGGGAGCCCGAGGUGGGCAGAUCACGAGGUCAGGAGUUCGAGACCAGCCUGACCAACAUGGUGAAACCCUGUCUCUACCAAAAAUACAAAAAUUAGCCAGGCGUGGUGGCAUGCGUCUGUAAUCCCAGCUACUCAGGAGGCUAAGGCAGGAGACUUGCUUGAACCCGGGAGGUGGAGGUUGCAGUGAGCUGAGAUUGCGCCACUGCACUCCAGCCUGGGUGACAGAGCGAGACUCUGUCUUGAAAAAAAAAAAUAGACUUACUACCACUUCCCUCUUUAAAACCUCAAACCUCAUGGCAUGACUUUUGAGGGCCUCAAAAAUUUGUUCCCAGGGUCUAUAUUUUUAGUUUUACCUCCUACCACUGUCCCUCAAGUACCCUCUAUGCCAGAUAGUUGCUGGUCAUUCCUUGAAAACAUACCAUGCAUUUUCUUAACUUUGCCCAUACUGUUCUUUUGUCAGUAAUAUUAUUCUUCCCACUUUUCUGCUUGAUAAAAUGUACACAGUGGUACAGAGGAAAAGAAUGGGAUGGAGGAUGAAUGAAUAAAUAAAUAAGAGUUAGAGGAAAAAGUAUAAAACAGCAUGGAGAUGAGGAUUUAAUAAAGUAAUUUUUGGUAGGGAGGAGACAAUAACAGCACCCACGGCAAAAGGCUACGGUAAGGAUAUUAGAUAAUAUUUGUCAAACUUUUAGAACUGCCUGACAUAUAUAUUAUUCUUGCUAUUAUCUUCAGUAGUAUAAUUAUUAUGAUCAUUCCUGUAAUGAGGGCUUGAACUCUGACUGCCACAAUGAGGGAGGUACAGGGAGGCUGCUACUCACAAGCAGAGCCCCAAAGGGAUCAAGAGGCCAACAGGGUCCUGGUCUGAUUCAAGUUUCUGAGGAAUCCAAAACUACACAGAAAAACAAAACCAAUUCCAUUAAAUCAUAAUGGAGCACAUAUGUGAAUUCCUAUAUACCCCAAGUAACUUUUACUCCUCAAAUAUAUCUUUUUGAAGUGGAGCUGCUUCAACACCCUGCCUCAGGCACUGAAACAUCAGGGUAGCACUCAUCCUCAUGAAUCUGAAUCUGCAAGCCUCAUCUGUGCUCUCCUAUGGUUUCCUGUUUGGCCAGUAGUCACUUCUCCUUCCUUAUAUAACACAGAUUUGACUCCAAAGUUCUCCCUGUAGGUGCAAAAACAUGACCACAUAUGUACAACAUACACAGCUUAAUACUGCAGCCAAAAGAAAACUAAAUUCACUUACAAUGGAGGUGAACCAAGGGACCUAGAAACUCAUUAUUUAUAUGUGUAUCUAUCUAUCUAUCUAUCUAUCUAUCUAUAUAUAUAUAUGAAUGAUGAGUCGAAAAUUUUGAGAUUUCCUUUUUAGCCUCUUGUAAGUCUCAGUCCUUCUAAAAGACUGCCUUUGGCUGGGUGCAGUGGCUCACGCUUGUAAUCACAGCACUUUGAGAGGCCGAGGCUGGCGGAUCACCUGAGGUCAGGAGAUUGAGACCAUCCUGGCUAACACGGUGAAACCCUGUCUCUACUAAAAAUACAAAAAAUUAGCCAGGCGUGGUGGCGGGCGCCUGUAGUCCCAGCUACUCAGGAGGCUGAGGCAGGAGAAUGGCUAGAACUUGGGAGGCUUAGGUUGCAGUGGGCCGAGAUGGAGUCACUGCACUCCAGCCUGGGUGACACAGCAAGACUCCAUCUCAAAAAAAAAAAACAAAAAAAAAAGGACUGCCUUUGUCAGUUGUGGCAAAUACCUUCCAGAUAGACCCCUUUUCUCCUGGUUAAUGGGUCUUCAAAAAAAAAAAAAAAAAAAAAAAAACAGGUCUUCAAGCCUUUUAUUUCACAUUUUAUUAAGCCACUGUGAUCCACCAUCCCAUCUCUCCUUUCAUAUCCCUCCCCCAAGCAUCCCAUAUCUCCCUUGAUCAGACAGUCUUUUGGUACAAACACUGCUCCUACAGUAUGUCCCAAAGCAAACAAAAAGAAUACAGAGGCCAGGUGGGGUAGCUCAUGCCUGUAAUCCUAGCACUUUGGGAGGCCAAUGCAGGAGGAUCACUUGGGGCCAAGAGUGUUCAAGAUCAGCCUGGGCAACAUGGUGCUUCUAUUAAAAAAAAAAAAAAAAAAAAAAGAACAAAGAGCUCCACAUCUAUUGGAUGACGAGAUGACACAUAUUCUGCUUGCUUACUAGUCAGACUGCCAAAAAUCAUUUGUUUCUCCUCUUGUAGGUUUAAACAAACACAAAAGGAACUGUGCUCCUAUGUACGGCUACUGCUUCUCCACAGGACUUGAAAAACUGAGGCAUUAGAGACACUUCCUCUCUAUAAACCCGAACAGAACACUUUGUUUCUUUUCUCUUAGCAUAUAGUUGGUAGUUUGUAUUUCCAGGCCAUCAUUGUACAUGUUUGGCAAGGGCCUUCAAUUUUCUCAGUACAAUGUUUCAUCCAGUCACUGAAGGCCCGGCACUGUACCUUGAAUUUACAAGCCAAGAAAAAGACUCAGACUGAAAAGAAGACCUUCGGUAUCAUCUUCCUGAAAUACAUCAGACUCUACAAAUGAGUUAGAAGACCCAGAUCCAAUUCCCAGUGUCUUGCAGUGUGAUCUCUAGACAGCUCUUUAAUCUUCUGUAGCUCCAGUUUUUCCAUCCUGGAAAACAGGGAUUGUAUUACCUGUCCCUCCUUGAAUUCAGACUCUUACUACUGAAUGAGAAUAUUUUUAUUUCUAUAAUUUGUGAAACAACCAGCAUUCAGAAGACUCAGAAAAUAAAGCACAAAUGUUGUUUCUCACUUCUGUCAGAAUGGCCAUGUAGAAAUCCUCAGCAAAACCCAAGAGAAAUCCCAAAGAAGAAGAAGAAACAAAGGCAUGAAGAGGUUAGGCUAUAGCUGCAUAUCUUGGAAAAGACAGCUGGGAUUUGAGGUUCAAAUACCAUGUCUUCCACUUAUUCGCUAUGUGACAUGGAAAAAAUCGUUUCACCUCCCUAAGCCCCAAUUCCUUUCUCCAUAAAAGGAGAUAAUAGUAUCUACCAAAUAGUAACGUCGUGAGAAGUUGAUGAGACGAUGAUAAGGGAAACAUCUGGCACUGUGUCUGGCAUGCGGCGGGUGCUUAGUAAGUAUGGGCUCCCUUUACCUACCCCCUCCGCCCCUACAAGCCUCGGGGUUCACCCUUUAAGACCUUUGCCACAGGGUGUCCACGCGGCCUCCGGGGUCCCCAGGCGCCCGGGCCAGCCGCACUGCCAUACCUGCAUGGAGUCAGCGCUGACGAUCUCACCGCCGAGCCGCUGGCCUAGCUGCAACGCCAGCGUGGAUUUGCCGGUGCCCGUGGCCCCGAGAAUCACUACAAGAGCAUCUCUCUCCAGAACCUCUUCUUGGGGACCCCUCUCUGAAGCCUCUUCUUGGGAGCAGCUUUCUGGAGGAAAACGGGCAGCAUAGUUGUGCUGUUGCUGAUGGAUGGAGAUGUGGAAAUGCUUCAUGCAGGGAUCCAGGGGGUCUGCUCGCACCGUGAUGGUGACCGGCUUCCGAAUACCCAGAGACUGCCUCUUCUCUACUGUCACAACAUCAAUUUCUUCAUUCUCUGUCCGAGAAAAGAGAUCAAGAGAAGAAACACAUCCCAUGAGAAACACAAACAUAGACCCUACAGCUUUAGCUGUCUACGCUGGUGCUUGGGAAGGUAGGAGACAUUUUUCCAAUUUAGAUAUAUACAAAUCGAGGUGAGCAGAAAGCUGAUUCAUUUGUAAUGUGGUAAGGGCACAGUGAAGGAAAGGAGGGGACAUUAGCAAGAAGGAAAAUAUUCUCCAAUUUCCUUUUGCACAGCAAGGCUUAGAUAAGAACAAAAGGCAGACCCAAGCCAACAGCCCCCAGUCUGCAAAGGCUCUCCCCUCCCCCACGGAGGGGUUGGAGAGAAAGAGCUACCGGCCUGGGACAAAGUUUAGCUAUAAAGAUCUUCCCCAGUCGGGCUCUUUCAUGCCCCAUCAGAAUUGUAAAUGAGGGGUCUGUGGGCAGAGCUGCCCUUUGUUCCUGCCCAGCACAGCCUGCACUUGGGGAAUUGUUACUUUUCACAAGUUAUAAAUCCUAUUAUUCCCCCACCUCUCUAUUCUGCCAUCCCUUUCAGCUGAAGAUUCAGAGAAGGGAGGGCUACAACCCAUCCCUCUUCACCCACAGAGGGGAGGGAAAGGGUUUCCCUUAGGAGCAUUUUGCUCCUGGGUUCAAUGGGUUUCUAAAGUCAUCCAUCAUUUAUAGGUCGCCUGCCCCACCUCCUUCCCUGGACUAGAAGGUUAGAUUUGUAAUCAUAGGUCGGCGAAGCUGCAGGAACUUCACAAAGGUACAAGCGACCAUUUCCAAACUACCUGCACCAGAGGCAGAGACUGGGCAGCAGAAUGUCCCAGAUAUGGGGCUCAUAACACCAGAGACCUGGAGACACCUGGACACGCCCUUCUCAUUCACUGGCUUGAAGGUCUCUUAGGUUAACCUAACCAGGAGAGGGGCAAUUGGGAGAAAAGUCUCCUCCUGCUCCACACAUUUUGCAGCCUCCACACAGAAGUCCACCUUAAUGGAUCUCGGCCUCGCAAAGGAAGAGCUCCGUUCUCAGCUUCUUUGCAUAUCAGGAAGCUUGAGCCCCUUUGUCAGGAAGGCUUCCAUUGUGUGGACAAUCGCAUUAUUUCUCCAUUAAUAAACCUGACCAUUCAGCCCUCCUGGCCCCAAAGCCCAUGAUUGGCUGAUUACGCUGUGUUUGGACUUCUGUCUUACCCAGCCCCUAGCCCCUAUUGGGUGAGCUCUGCUGCCAAUCACUUUCCCCACCCCCCGCCUCAUUGUUUGCAAUCUGUUGCAUUUUGUUCCAGGCCAUGUGGCCUGUGAGUGAACUAGAAGCUCACAAACAGGUUCAGGUUAAAGGGUAGGUUAGAAAAUGAUUCAGCAGGCUUCCCUACAUCCCAAACCUUUAAUUUUCAGUGUUAAGCCUCGUGGCUCAGGAAGAUUCUAUCUAAGAAAGAAAUAAUUUAAGACACCAUUCUCCCUUUCAGAGAGUAGUGUCUUACUCUAUCCAGACAAGGAAAUGUCAUCAGCAGGACAAUCAAGUCCAACCCCAUCGUGUGCAAAUGGGGAAACUGAGGCCCAGAUCAGCGAAGUCCACAUAUCACCUUUGUAACGUUCUGGAUCUCAAACUAAAAUGUCCAACUUCCAAAGCAAUGCUCUUUCCACUCUACCACUCCACCAGCCGUUGUAGAGAUACAUCUUUAUUGGUUUUUUGAUCUCAAGAUUCUCUUUCCA
RNAcentral lists this long non-coding RNA (10098 nucleotides) under Homo sapiens (human). Its description in RNAcentral is "HSALNT0005391". Lineage: Eukaryota; Metazoa; Chordata; Mammalia; Primates; Hominidae. The record is from RNAcentral.